Paramuricea clavata is the source of this 216-nucleotide non-coding RNA. Lineage: Eukaryota; Metazoa; Cnidaria; Anthozoa; Malacalcyonacea; Plexauridae. The record is from the annotation of a GenBank genome assembly.
GGGUUAUGUAUUUCGACGGUUGGGAAGACGACCAAGACUAUUACCAUCCAAUGCGACGAUUACCGUCGGUUUGGAAUUGUGGUGUAGUAGUUGCUAAAGAUUUAAAUGUGAUAUCAUUAGAUUUAAGACAUUUACAAGGUCUAUGUAGAUCAUUAGAAAUAUUAACAAGGAUAAGACAAGCGAGAAAUGAGUUUAAUUAUCGUUGCGGUAAGUAAU